RNAcentral lists this long non-coding RNA (599 nucleotides) under Chloebia gouldiae (Gouldian finch). RNAcentral's name for it is "Erythrura gouldiae (Gouldian finch) lncRNA (ENSEGOG00005018826.1)". Lineage: Eukaryota; Metazoa; Chordata; Aves; Passeriformes; Passeridae. The record is from RNAcentral.
CCAAUGAGUGACCCUGAGUGACCCCUGAAUGACCAAUGAGUGACCAAUGAGUGACCAAUGAGUGACCAAUGAGUGACCCUGAGUGAUGUCACCUGUCUCACCUGUCCCUGUCUCACCUGUCUCACCUGUCCGUCUCUCACCUGUCCAUCUCUCACCUGUCUCACCUGUCUCUCACCUGUCCGUCUCUCACCUGUCUCUCACCUGUCUCACCUGUCUCUCACCUGUCUCUCACCUGUCCAUCUCUCACCUGUCCAUCUCUCACCUGUCUCUCACCUGUCUCUCACCUGUCCCAGGUGGGCGGGGACGUCCCAGAGACCAAUUACCUGUUCAUGGGCGACUUCGUCGACCGCGGCUUCUACAGCGUCGAGACCUUCCUGCUGCUGCUGGCCCUGAAGGUGCGGUACCCGGACCGGAUCACGCUGAUCCGGGGGAACCACGAGUCCCGGCAGAUCACGCAGGUUUACGGCUUCUACGACGAGUGCCUGCGCAAGUACGGCUCCGUCACCGUGUGGCGCUACUGCACCGAGAUCUUCGACUACCUGAGCCUGUCGGCCAUCAUCGACGGCAAGAUUUUCUGCGUGCACGGCGGCCUCUCGCCG